Molecule: ribosomal RNA, 494 nt
Filed under: uncultured bacterium
Lineage: Bacteria
Description: partial 16S ribosomal RNA
Rfam family: Bacterial small subunit ribosomal RNA
Source: RNAcentral
GACGAACGCUGGCGGCGUGCUUAACACAUGCAAGUCGAACGGAAAGGCCUGCUUUCCCUUGUGGAUUGCGGGUACUCGAGUGGCGAACGGGUGAGAAACACGUGAGUGAUCUGCCCCCAACUUGGGUAUAAGCCUGGGAAACUGGGUCUAAUUCCCGAUAGGACUGCAGGGUGGUGCCUGUGGUGGAAAACGAUUUUCUAGUGGUUGGGGAUGAGCUCGCGGCCUAUCAGCUUGUUGGUGGGGUAAUGGCCUACCAAGGCGGCGACGGGUAGCCGGCCUGGGAGGGUGGACGGCCACAGUGGGACUGAGAUACGGCCCAGACUCCGACGGGAGGCAGCAGUGGGGAAUAUUGCACAAUGGGCGGAAGCCUGAUGCAGCGACGCCGCGUGGGGGAUGACGGCCUUCGGGUUGUAAACUCCUUUCGACCGCGAGGAAGCCACCUGGUUGGAAGGGUGGUGACGGUAGUGGUAGAAGAAGCACCGGCUAACUACGUG